Molecule: ribosomal RNA, 253 nt
Filed under: uncultured bacterium
Lineage: Bacteria
Description: partial 16S ribosomal RNA
Rfam family: Bacterial small subunit ribosomal RNA
Source: RNAcentral
UACGUAGGUGACAAGCGUUGUCCGGAUUUACUGGGCGUAAAGAGCGCGCAGGCGGUCGUUCAAGUCGAGUGUGAAAGCCCCCGGCUCAACUGGGGAGGGUCACUCGAUACUGAUCGACUCGAAGGCAGGAGAGGGUAGUGGAAUUCCCGGUGUAGUGGUGAAAUGCGUAGAUAUCGGGAGGAACACCAGUGGCGAAGGCGACUUCCUGGCCUGUUCUUGACGCUGAGGCGCGAAAGCGUGGGGAGCAAACGGG